Mycena leptocephala is the source of this 92-nucleotide non-coding RNA. Lineage: Eukaryota; Fungi; Basidiomycota; Agaricomycetes; Agaricales; Mycenaceae. The record is from the annotation of a GenBank genome assembly.
GACCUGGUGGUGAAAUGAAUCACACCCAUCACAUUUACAUGUUAUUGAAAGAUUGUUUGUGGGAAUCCCCAGUUUGAAUCUGGGCUAGGUCA